GAUGAACGCUGGCGGCGUGCUUAACACAUGCAAGUCGAACGAAGCACUUUAUUUGAUUUCCUUCGGGACUGAUUAUUUUGUGACUGAGUGGCGGACGGGUGAGUAACGCGUGGGUAACCUGCCUUGUACAGGGGGAUAACAGUUGGAAACGGCUGCUAAUACCGCAUAAGCGCACGGUAUCGCAUGAUGCAGUGUGAAAAACUCCGGUGGUAUAAGAUGGACCCGCGUUGGAUUAGCUAGUUGGUGAGGUAACGGCCCACCAAGGCGACGAUCCAUAGCCGACCUGAGAGGGUGACCGGCCACAUUGGGACUGAGACACGGCCCAAACUCCUACGGGAGGCAGCAGUGGGGAAUAUUGCACAAUGGGCGAAAGCCUGAUGCAGCGACGCCGCGUGAGCGAAGAAGUAUUUCGGUAUGUAAAGCUCUAUCAGCAGGGAAGAUAAUGACGGUA
RNAcentral lists this ribosomal RNA (451 nucleotides) under uncultured bacterium. RNAcentral's name for it is "bacterial SSU rRNA". It matches the Rfam family "Bacterial small subunit ribosomal RNA", at positions 28 to 477 of the family's 1533-position model. The record is from RNAcentral.